UACGUAGGGGGCGAGCGUUGUCCGGAUUUAUUGGGCGUAAAGAGCGCGUAGGUGGCUCGACAAGUCGGGUGUGACAAUUCAAGGCUCAACCUUGAGACGCCAUCCGAUACUGUCGUGGCUCGAGUUCGGUAGGGGAUCACGGAAUUCCUGGUGUAGCGGUGAAAUGCGGAGAUAUCAGGAGGAACACCGAUGGCGAAGGCAGUGAUCUGGGCCGAUACUGACACUGAGGCGCGAAAGCGUGGGGAGCGAACAGG
Molecule: unclassified non-coding RNA, 254 nt
Filed under: uncultured Acidimicrobiia bacterium
Lineage: Bacteria; Bacillati; Actinomycetota; Acidimicrobiia
Description: contains 16S-23S intergenic spacer region
Rfam family: Bacterial small subunit ribosomal RNA
Source: RNAcentral